GAUGAACGCUGGCGGCGUGCCUAAUACAUGCAAGUCGAGCGAACAGACGAGGAGCUUGCUCCUCUGACGUUAGCGGCGGACGGGUGAGUAACACGUGGAUAACCUACCUAUAAGACUGGGAUAACUUCGGGAAACCGGAGCUAAUACCGGAUAAUAUAUUGAACCGCAUGGUUCAAUAGUGAAAGACGGUUUUGCUGUCACUUAUAGAUGGAUCCGCGCCGCAUUAGCUAGUUGGUAAGGUAACGGCUUACCAAGGCAACGAUGCGUAGCCGACCUGAGAGAGUAAUCGGCCACACUGGAACUGAGACACGGUCCAGACUCCUACGGGAGGCAGCAGUAGGGAAUCUUCCGCAAUGGGCGAAAGCCUGACGGAGCAACGCCGCGUGAGUGAUGAAGGUCUUCGGAUCGUAAAACUCUGUUAUUAGGGAAGAACAAAUGUGUAAGUAACUAUGCACGUCUUGACGGUACCUAAUCAGAAAGCCACGGCUAACUACGUG
This 497-nucleotide ribosomal RNA is filed under the name uncultured bacterium. Its description in RNAcentral is "partial 16S ribosomal RNA". It matches the Rfam family "Bacterial small subunit ribosomal RNA", at positions 28 to 507 of the family's 1533-position model. The record is from RNAcentral.